GCCAUGCAUGUCUAAGUAUAAACGCUUCUAUACUGUGAAACUGCGAAUGGCUCAUUAAAUCAGUUAUAGUUUAUUUGAUGGUUCCUUGCUACUUGGAUAACCGUAGUAAUUCUAGAGCUAAUACAUGCAGAAAGUCCCGACCUCUGGAAGGGAUGUAUUUAUUAGAUCCAAAACCGGCGCAGGUCCUCCGGGGCCUGGUUGCUUGGUGAUUCAUGAUAACUGCUCGAACCGUAUGGCCUCUUGCGCCGACGGUGCUUCAUUCAAAUUUCUGCCCUAUCAACUUUCGAUGGUACGGUAGUGGCCUACCAUGGUUGCAACGGGUGACGGAGAAUUAGGGUUCGGUUCCGGAGAGGGAGCCUGAGAAACGGCUACCACAUCCAAGGAAGGCAGCAGGCGCGCAAAUUACCCAAUCCCGACUCGGGGAGGUAGUGACAAUAAAUAACAAUGCCGGGCUAUCGUAGUCUGGCAAUUGGAAUGAGUACAAUCUAAAUCCCUUAACGAGGAACAAUUGGAGGGCAAGUCUGGUGCCAGCAGCCGCGGUAAUUCCAGCUCCAAUAGCGUAUAUUAAAGUUGUUGCAGUUAAAAAGCUCGUAGUUGGAUUUCGGGGCGGCCUGGUUGGUCCGUCGCAAGGCGAGUACUGGUCAGCCGCCCUUCCUCUCGAAAGCCCCGACUGCUCUUCACUGCAGUGGUCGGGUAGUUCGGGACGUUUACUUUGAAAAAAUUAGAGUGUUCAAGGCAGGCUUACGCCUGAAUACAUUAGCAUGGAAUAAUGGAAGAGGACCUCGGUCCUAUUUUGUUGGUUUCUGGGGCCGAAGUAAUGAUUAAGAGGGA
RNAcentral lists this ribosomal RNA (831 nucleotides) under Monanchora arbuscula. RNAcentral describes it as "SSU rRNA". It matches the Rfam family "Eukaryotic small subunit ribosomal RNA", at positions 48 to 878 of the family's 1831-position model. Lineage: Eukaryota; Metazoa; Porifera; Demospongiae; Poecilosclerida; Crambeidae. The record is from RNAcentral.